RNAcentral lists this transfer RNA (68 nucleotides) under Nuttallia olivacea. RNAcentral describes it as "tRNA-Lys". It matches the Rfam family "tRNA". Rfam says of the family: Transfer RNA (tRNA) molecules are approximately 80 nucleotides in length. Their secondary structure includes four short double-helical elements and three loops (D, anti-codon, and T loops). Further hydrogen bonds mediate the characteristic L-shaped molecular structure. tRNAs have two regions of fundamental functional importance: the anti-codon, which is responsible for specific mRNA codon recognition, and the 3' end, to which the tRNAs corresponding amino acid is attached (by aminoacyl-tRNA synthetases). tRNAs cope with the degeneracy of the genetic code in two manners: having more than one tRNA (with a specific anti-codon) for a particular amino acid; and 'wobble' base-pairing, i.e. permitting non-standard base-pairing at the 3rd anti-codon position. Lineage: Eukaryota; Metazoa; Mollusca; Bivalvia; Cardiida; Psammobiidae. The record is from RNAcentral.
GUUUUAGUAGCUUAAUAAAGCAUAUGACUCUUAAUCAUAGGAUGUAGAUGAAUUCUCUACCUAAGACU